CAUGUUCAGUACAUGUGCAGUUGUUCUUUUUCCAAAUAUUGUUGAACUGCAAAUAGUUGAUUCUACAGAUAAUGGGAGGGUGUCCAUCUUUAGGAAGGCUAUGAGCAGGCAGCCUCUUAGGAAUUCAGCCAAGAGGAAAAGCACUCUGAUUAUGAAUGGAACAGUAGGAAACUGAUUCCUGCAAAUGAUAGCAGCAAGACAAGAACCACGGAUCAGAGAAAUGACAGGAAGGAGGAAUGCUCCCUGCCAGUAGCCUCAUGCCAGGGAACAACUACCACAAUGUGGAGACCCAGGCACGGAGGGAAAGUCAUGGCCCUGGUGACACAACUAGAAAGGAUGCAGCAGGCUGGCAGCCUGUUCUGGGACUAAACCCACAGCUUGAAUUCUGAGCUGCUGCAUUUUGCCACCUUGCAGUGUGACAUGCUUGUCACAAGCUUGGAGUGCAGAGUUCGUGUUCUCAGCACAGCUAUUCACGUCUGAAGAUAAAGAACUUUUAUGCUGAGCCUGAGGCAGGUGUAUACACAACCAUUUAUCAAAGUCCACCUGGGUCCAGACAUCUGGUAAGCCCUGGAAGUACACAGCAGGAUCCUGCCAGUCUCUGCCCUCAUGGAGACUGGCCAGUCGGUAAUACCAGAUUAAAU
RNAcentral lists this long non-coding RNA (641 nucleotides) under Heterocephalus glaber (naked mole-rat). RNAcentral describes it as "lncRNA (ENSHGLG00100034566.1)". Lineage: Eukaryota; Metazoa; Chordata; Mammalia; Rodentia; Bathyergidae. The record is from RNAcentral.